ACUUGUGAGGAAAUAAAGGAAGUUAGGCUGAGGGGCAGAGAGCGAGACUUUUCUAUUUUCCAAAAGCUCGGUCUGAGGCCCCUCAGUCUUGCUUCCUACCCCGCGCUUGAGUUUCUCCCC
Balaenoptera musculus (blue whale) is the source of this 120-nucleotide microRNA precursor. The record is from Ensembl. NCBI's taxonomy places the organism in Eukaryota, Metazoa, Chordata, Mammalia, Artiodactyla, Balaenopteridae.